CGGAACGGGUGGAGCUUCUGGUGCAGUGGAUGUGGGCUUUCAGACCUGGAUCUCCUCUCUCCUCCUCACGUAAGUAACUAUUCUUCAUGCCCCAGGUCUCAGCACUCUCGGGAAACCUGCCCUGGCCCCUCUAGCCUACACCGGAAUCCCGCCCCCCACAACAACCAAGCACCUGCUUAACACUUGGGUUUUCCCCUCUCCAACUGAGUCAGAGCCUAUGGACUACUUGGCCUCCUCCCCACCUCCCAAUACACUAGAUGUCCCCUCAAGUACGGCCUGCCUUCUUUACCAUUUAUUUACUAGUGUUCUUCGCAAAACCAGAACAAGGUAGGUAUCUCUGUGGUGCUGGAAGAGCAAUGGUAACUGUCAGAGACCCAGGAAAGACGCCAUUUACACCCAGAGGUGCUACGGUGAGUGACAGGAGACUCAGCAGCAUUGUCACAUCACAGAGCAAACCCUGUCUGCUGGGCUUCCGGGCCCCGGAAGGUAGAAAUCACCGAUGACCUACUUGAUUGAGUGUGGAGCCCGUGGAGCUGGUGGGGGUGUCAGGGAGGUCCCUUCAGAUGCCCCCCAGGGUUCAGGGGUCUGCCUGUCCCAGGAACCGGCAGCAAUUCCAACACAUUCCUGAGCACGUAUUGCUAAGAUGAGUCCAAGUUCACGUUCCCAGUCAACCACGCCAGAGGUCUGUGCCAGCUACACUUGGUCUAGGAGGCCUGGGAUCACCAUCAGCCCAUUCUUCCUUGAGGCUCAGGAACAGUGUGGGAUGUUAGCCGAGUUGUGCUCAGAAACAACCCUCUCAUUGAUUAGGGCUGCUGAGAAUCCCAUCCUCUGCUCACCUGUCAAUUAAUCAAGCCUCUUCACUGUCACCCUGACCAUCCCUUCAGGGCUGGUCACUUUGGCUGCUCACAGAACCCAUGAGGACUGAGAAUUUCCCAGAUUCUCACAACAACUGAGCAGCCCUGCUUCCCCAGCCCUUUAGAACAUCUGGAACGUGCCCAGGUGUGCCCGGUGUGGCCUCCAUGGCCUGCCAGAGGAGUGGGCAGGGAAAGCACAAAGACUGAAGCAGACAAAGACUAAGCUUUGUUUCCGCCUCUUCUCCACCCUUCUUUUCCAUAUAAGAGUCUCAAAGCCAGAUCCAGAAGGAAAAGUCAGCAGCAUUUCACCAUUCAGUUCCUUUUCUUGGCCCCAGUGUGUGCCCCGGGGCCCUUUUGUCCUUUGGGCUGGGUGGAGUGCCUGGCUACACUCUGCGAAAAAGGUCAGGGUCAAGAUUCUGGGAGCAGCCCGUAGCACUAGAGGAACUCAUGUUUUCCAUUGUGCAUUAAAAUGUCCAUUUGCCUGCGGCUGAGCUUCCCCUCCGAAUCAAAUAGGUCAAUAAGGACCAAGGACAAAGCACAAAUAGGGCCUGGAAGCCAAGAGAUGUCGAUAAAAAUGGAGAUAAAUGGGCAUUUCAGAGCGGGCAGGCAGUGGGUGUGGGGCAUUGUCCCUUCUCUGGCUGGCAGUGCCUGGCCACUUUGUCUCCAAACAGUGCUUCCAUUUUGGAGAUGCCAGAUUGGUUUGGACCCGAAGCUUGACUGCUGUGGGGUGGGCUGAGGUGGGAGUGGGGAGGAUUCACACAGGAAAAAAAAAGCAUCCUCCUGGGUGACAAAUGUGUCAGUUCCUGCGUUUCUUGCUCCCUUACAAAGCCUUUCUAACGUGAAAAUCACCCCUUUUUGACUGUGUUAUUCUUCUUUCCCCUUAAGAAAAUAAGUUCCCAAUCUUAGGGGUUUUUAGCAGUGCAAAUGCUGGCAUUUCAGAGCUGCUUUAGUGUCUUCAGCUAGAUGUUUUAAGAGUCCAGUCUUCUCUUAUGAUUUCCUCUGCCCCUUGCUUCAUUUCAUGAAGAGCUCCAACUGAAAGAUCCCUGGAGCAGGAGUCAGGAGACGGGUUCUGCUCCCGAUCUACCGUCCUUCUGCCACUGUGACCUUGGGCAAGUAAUCAUCUCUGAGUCGGAAUUUCUAACAUUCUGUGACUAUGUAGAAUCACAGGGUCGGGGUGGGGGGGGCAGGGCAGAGUUAGUUCACCGGCUCACCAUGGAAUAAAUGUUUGAUUACGUAUUGGUGACCUCAUUCAUGCAUUCAUCAAAUAUGCCAGGGAGCGUGGCAGGCAUGAAGAUACAAAGUGAAAUAAGACCAGUCCCUGCCCAUGAACAGGCAGCAUAACAUGAUGGACAGAGCACAGAUUUUCUGAGGACAUAGCCAGCUACAUUUUUAUAACUUCGCUGAGCCUUGGCUUUCUCAUGUGCAUGAUGGGAUUAUUUUUUAGGUUGAGCACCCAUCCUGGUUUGCCUGAGACUGAAGGGUUUCCUGGGACACAGACCUUCUGGUGCUAAAACCUGGAAAGUCUCAGGCAUAUCAGGAUGAGAGAUGAACUGAAAUGGAAGAGCACUGUGCCCUGCAUCUAAUAGCUAUUCUGUAAACGUAAUCACACACAAACAUGCCCCUCACAACAUAGUAAAGGAAAAAUAAAAUGAAACAAAUAGGUGAGCACAAAAGUAAUUGUGGUUUUGGCAUUGUUGGAAUUUGCCAUUUGAUACGGGAGUACAUUUUUUUGAGAUGGGCUCUCCUUUUGUUACCCACGCUGGAGUGCAGUGGCAUGGUCUUGGCUCACUGCAACCUCCGCUCCUGGGUUUAGUCAAUUAUCCUGCCUCCGGCUCCC
Molecule: long non-coding RNA, 2691 nt
Organism: Sapajus apella (tufted capuchin)
Lineage: Eukaryota; Metazoa; Chordata; Mammalia; Primates; Cebidae
Exons: 2
Source: RefSeq, a predicted model, not a curated record